RNAcentral lists this ribosomal RNA (460 nucleotides) under uncultured bacterium. Its description in RNAcentral is "partial 16S ribosomal RNA". It matches the Rfam family "Bacterial small subunit ribosomal RNA", at positions 338 to 795 of the family's 1533-position model. The record is from RNAcentral.
CCUACGGGAGACAGCAGUGAGGAAUAUUGGUCAAUGGACGCAAGUCUGAACCAGCCAUGCCGCGUGCAGGAAGACGGCUCUAUGAGUUGUAAACUGCUUUUGUACGAGGGUAAACGCAGAUACGCGUAUCUGCCCGUAAGUAUCGUACGAAUAAGGAUCGGCUAACUCCGUGACAGCAGCCGCGGUCAUACGGAGGAUUCAAGCGUUAUCCGGAUUUAUUGGGUUUAACGGGAGCGUAGGCGGUCGGAUAAGUUAGAGGUGAAAUCCCGAGGCUCAACUUCGGAAUUGCCUCUGAUACUGCUCGGCUAGAGAGUAGUUGCGGUAGGCGGAAUGUAUGGUGUAGCGGUGAAAUGCUUAGAGAUCAUACAGAACACCGAUUGCGAAGGCAGCUUACCAAGCUACUUCUGACGUUGAGGCACGAAAGCGUGGGGAGCAAACAGGAUUAGAUACCCCUGUAGUC